Molecule: ribosomal RNA, 253 nt
Filed under: uncultured bacterium
Lineage: Bacteria
Description: partial 16S ribosomal RNA
Rfam family: Bacterial small subunit ribosomal RNA
Source: RNAcentral
UACGGAGGGGGCUAGCGUUGUUCGGAAUUACUGGGCGUAAAGCGCACGUAGGCUGCUUUGUAAGUCAGAGGUGAAAGCCCGGGGCUCAACCCCGGAUGUGCCUUUGAGACUGCAGAGCUAGAACGUCGGAGAGGUGAGUGGAAUUCCGAGUGUAGAGGUGAAAUUCGUAGAUAUUCGGAAGAACACCAGUGGCGAAGGCGGCUCACUGGACGACUGUUGACGCUGAGGUGCGAAAGCGUGGGGAGCAAACAGG